RNAcentral lists this ribosomal RNA (515 nucleotides) under Penicillium commune. RNAcentral describes it as "eukaryotic LSU rRNA". The stretch from base 151 to 303 matches the Rfam family "5.8S ribosomal RNA". Lineage: Eukaryota; Fungi; Ascomycota; Eurotiomycetes; Eurotiales; Aspergillaceae. The record is from RNAcentral.
CUCCCACCCGUGUUUAUUUUACCUUGUUGCUUCGGCGGGCCCGCCUUAACUGGCCGCCGGGGGGCUCACGCCCCCGGGCCCGCGCCCGCCGAAGACACCCUCGAACUCUGUCUGAAGAUUGAAGUCUGAGUGAAAAUAUAAAUUAUUUAAAACUUUCAACAACGGAUCUCUUGGUUCCGGCAUCGAUGAAGAACGCAGCGAAAUGCGAUACGUAAUGUGAAUUGCAAAUUCAGUGAAUCAUCGAGUCUUUGAACGCACAUUGCGCCCCCUGGUAUUCCGGGGGGCAUGCCUGUCCGAGCGUCAUUGCUGCCCUCAAGCCCGGCUUGUGUGUUGGGCCCCGUCCUCCGAUCUCCGGGGGACGGGCCCGAAAGGCAGCGGCGGCACCGCGUCCGGUCCUCGAGCGUAUGGGGCUUUGUCACCCGCUCUGUAGGCCCGGCCGGCGCUUGCCGAUCAACCCAAAUUUUUAUCCAGGUUGACCUCGGAUCAGGUAGGGAUACCCGCUGAACUUAAGCAUA